CCACAGGAUGGUUGCGCAUUGUCAUUUGCAGGGGGAAAGAGCUGGUAGGCUUCCGCUGGUGAGUAACAGUUGUCUCCAGUGAGUCGGGACCAGUCUGUUCUACCUUCAUAUCCACUCAACACACAGUACAGCAGUCAGCUCUUCCUAGUAUUAAAGCUCUGAGAAUGUUCAUGGGCCAUUUUGGAGGUCUUGACAGCCUCUUGGCUUUUAUUUACCUUCGUUUCCAGGAUUCUGAUAGUCUACAGAGGAAAAGGUAGCGACUUUUAAGGAAAAAAACCUGUUCUAGAGCUAUCAUUCUGCUACAUUUCAGUGUUUCCCGUGUACCUUGGUGGAUAAAGAUGCAGAGCAAGUGUUUUGAGAGCAUGAUGGAAGGUACAGGGCAAAGGAACAGAUGCCUAAUUCUCCAUCAUCCUCUGUAGUCUCCCAUCUCCUCUAAAUCGCAGAUCAGCUUCUUUUUUCCUUUCUCCUCUUUUUCUUUUACUCCCCAUAUAGAACCCUCUCUUGUGCUUUACCCUGUUUCACAUCACAUUUCUUUUUCUUCCAUUUCUCCCUCCUAGUCUCCUCUCUUCUUUCUGGCUGCUGCCAUCCCAUCAGCAUUCUUUUUCCCACAAAUCAAAGUCGCCUUAUGGACCCUCUUGUGUUCCUCCUGUGUACAGGUACAAAAGCCAUGAAGUCUGAGAUGCUGCAGAAACACUUCGUAGGAGACCGCUCCUCAGUGCAGGUCCCGGCCCCACAUCUGCAGUGCUCAGGAUGUGCUAACAAGCUGCGCCAAUGCCGGGGGUGGGCAGGAGUGCCCAGUACUCUCCUGACUGAGAUGCCCUCUUCCCCAGGCACCUGCUCUGCUGCUGGCCAGUGGGCACCUGGUAUCUGCAACUUUUCCGCAGACAUGAGAGGGGAAAGCUUCUUCGCUUUCCCGGAGCUCACCUCCAGAGAACUGCAUGUCCUGUAUGAGCCGAUGAGGGGAGCUCAGCAGUCAACAGCACUCAACAGAAUGUACAUAAACCACAUCCCAGGUCCUGCGCGAGGUGCUCCAUUUCUCCGUCAAUCUUCUGAGUUUCAAAGCAACAUAGACAAAUGCCUGUGA
Bos indicus x Bos taurus (hybrid cattle) is the source of this 1084-nucleotide long non-coding RNA. NCBI's taxonomy places the organism in Eukaryota, Metazoa, Chordata, Mammalia, Artiodactyla, Bovidae. The record is from Ensembl.